Molecule: non-coding RNA, 1155 nt
Organism: Callorhinus ursinus (northern fur seal)
Lineage: Eukaryota; Metazoa; Chordata; Mammalia; Carnivora; Otariidae
Source: RefSeq, a predicted model, not a curated record
GAUUUGCGUGUGGAGAGCGUACAUGACUCGAGCAGUGAGGAGGAAGCACUCAGCGAACAGUACUCAGCAUCACCACUGCUCUCCGCACGCGAAGAGGACUCCAGGGAUGAAGAAGAGUCCGAUGGAAGGAGCAACACUGUGCCUCCCUCAGGAUGCUUCCCUUCAAUCAACUUGGAAGAAAAAACAAAGGAAGCCAUCUCUCAAUCAGAAGAGAAGGACUUAUGAAUGGGAUGGGUCCUGCAGGAAACCCUGCACCCGAAGACCUGAAGACACGUCCAACAAUAAACUGUAGGCCUCUUGUAAGAGCUGCUCCAAACCACACGCCACUCGCGAUCUCAUACCACUCCACCUGCUGUUUCCCACAAGUGCACAGCAGGACAGUCUGAGCACGACCCAGAUGCUCCAGAUGCUCCACAGGUCCACGGAGAAAGUGAGCCAGGAGGGAGCUCGGGCUCCAUCUGCAGGUUCGAUAUUGGCCCCGAGGAAGAGUCAGCGUGAAAAGCAUGCACGUGGAACAAGGAGAAGAAACACGCCUGGAGGAACUGCUCUCCUGCACCUGUCCUUUGCAGGCCACAAAGUCUUUUGUCUGUCCGACCACAGGAUGGCACUGGGAUCCCUGAGGACAAAACGAGGAGACCAUCUGAGUCGGCCACACACGCAGAGCUGGGUUUCCAGUCACUGCUGAUGACUGACACUCUGAGGAGGAGGCGACGCUCUGGGCCUUCAACAGUGCAUUGUCUGGUGAGAAGGGGCCCGCCUGGGACUGUGGGGCCCAGCAACCUUCCAGGCUUUUCCCCCGUCGGCUGCAGGGACUGCUCCUCCUCCCCCCCGUCCAUCCAGUCUCCAGCAACAAUGCAGAGCAUGAGAGAUGCAGGAGGAAGCGGGACUGCCCGGGUCCCGUGGCCACUCUGGAAUCUACUGGAUGGGCAGCGCCCAUCCCAGCUAUAUUCCCCUGCCGCUCAGUCCCUGAAAUACCCCUGUCGCUUCCAUGCACAGGUCUGUGACUGAUGCUGGGCGCAACACUGGCCGUGGCACCACAGAACAAGCCCACCUCAGCCUGUGUGUGUUUCUGGAGCAGCGAUAGGUUUAGCGAGGAGGGCCUGCCCCAGAUCUGAGCUCUACCUCUGGAGCACUCAGACACCACAACAGAGACAC